UAUAAAAGAUUUUGAGUUUUCGCUUGCACUGUUUGACCACUCGUCUUAUUUAAAAAAAUUUUAGAUUUAUUAUUUUUUUGACAUACUUUAUUAUCCAAAGUACUUUAAGCAUAAUUUUUCAUUUUUUAUAUUUGCACAAAUCUUUUGAAUAAGACGAGUGGUCAAACAGCGCAAGCAAAAACUCAAAAUCCCUUAUA
Molecule: microRNA precursor, 197 nt
Organism: Oryza sativa Indica Group (long-grained rice)
Lineage: Eukaryota; Viridiplantae; Streptophyta; Magnoliopsida; Poales; Poaceae
Rfam family: MIR812 microRNA precursor family
Source: Rfam